Molecule: non-coding RNA, 29 nt
Filed under: Mus musculus (house mouse)
Lineage: Eukaryota; Metazoa; Chordata; Mammalia; Rodentia; Muridae
Source: RNAcentral
UGAAAUCGUCGCUGACUGGGUGGACAGGA